Molecule: small nucleolar RNA, 217 nt
Organism: Amphiprion percula (orange clownfish)
Lineage: Eukaryota; Metazoa; Chordata; Actinopteri; Pomacentridae
Gene: U3
Rfam family: Small nucleolar RNA U3
About the family: Small nucleolar RNAs (snoRNAs) are involved in the processing and modification of rRNA in the nucleolus. There are two main classes of snoRNAs: the box C/D class, and the box H/ACA class.
Source: Ensembl
AAAACUAUACUUUCAGGGAUCAUUUCUAUAGUUUCUGACUUGAGAAAUGUGUUUCUAGAGUGUAUGGUCUCGCCAACAAUGAUGAUGAGUUGUGAUAGUUCCUUUAUGAGUAUGAAGCUGAAAGAGAUUAAUGAUAUGUUUCAUAUGUUGUAUAUUGUUGAUGAUUGUUCAUUGCUUUCUGGAAGUGCAGUAAAACAGAGAAUAUGUUCAGAGUGGU